AAUCAACGCUGGCGGCGUGCCUAACACAUGCAAGUCGAGCGCGAAAGGGGAGCAAUCCCCAAGUAGAGCGGCGAACGGGUGAGUAACGCGUGGGUAAUCUGCCUCCGAGUGGGGAACAACACCGGGAAACUGGGUGCUAAUACCGCAUGACAUCGUUGGACCUUCGGAUCUGACGAUACAAAGCCGGGGACCGCAAGGCCUGGCG
Molecule: ribosomal RNA, 205 nt
Filed under: uncultured bacterium
Lineage: Bacteria
Description: partial 16S ribosomal RNA
Rfam family: Bacterial small subunit ribosomal RNA
Source: RNAcentral